ACCCUCCAGAUUCCUUUCCCCAUCCGAUCUCAACAUUGGUCUGAGUGACUAUAAAGGAGGAAAAGUAAAAGGGGACACAGAUUUGGGUGCUUUUUGUGCCACACAGGU
Molecule: small nucleolar RNA, 108 nt
Filed under: Echinops telfairi (small Madagascar hedgehog)
Lineage: Eukaryota; Metazoa; Chordata; Mammalia; Afrosoricida; Tenrecidae
Description: Small nucleolar RNA SNORA61 (ENSETEG00000026388.1)
Source: RNAcentral